AUGUCGAGCUCUCUUCGCCGUCGACCGGCUGCCAGACCGAUGGCCAAACCAUCCGCCAAGGGUCUCAACAGCUCUAACCGAUGGUCCUCUCUAGCCAAUCUGGGAGAAGAGGAAGGGCAUCAUCAAGAUGAUCGGCUCAGCAAUUUGCCUAAUGAUUUGUUGCUUAAUAUCAUAGAGCGACUUGGUACCGCAGAUGCCGCAAGAACCAGCAUCCUUUCCAGACGGUGGAAGCCAAUCCCUGCUAUGCUCUCCAAAAUUUGUCUGACGGUUGGUUCCUCGGACUAUGACUAUGACAGGUCAAAGUUGACAUGUGACCAUGUAGUUCGGGCCAAUGCCAACAUGCUUCAAGCAACCAGGAACUUGCUGGAAAACAGGACAAGUCUAUACCCCAUUCAUCUCCUGCGCCUGCAAUUUUUCUUGGGAGAUGAAUCCGAUAGCAUUGGCCGGACUGUUGCCGACACCAUAUCAACACAAAAGGUUGGAUCUGUCGAGUUAACUCUCCUGACAAAGAAGGGAGGCAGCCAAUGCUCCCCUGACGAUUUCCUCACUCACGGGAAACGGCUCAAGUCAUUUGUUGAUGCUUGUCCUAACACAUUCAGUGGUCUUACACGACUAAGCCUAGAGAAUUUAAGGCUAGGUGAAUCAGAUUUCCCUAAAAUUUUGAGCAUAUCCAAGCAACUGGAGUUCCUCCGCUUGUGCAACUGUGACAUGGGACUGCUGUCUUUGCUAGAAGUGGAACACCCGCAACUCCGUGAACUUGAGAUUCUCAAGAGUGAUUUUGAGAGAGUUGAUCUGAAUUGGCUGCCUAAGCUCACAACAUUAUCUUUUGCAUGUUGGAUAUCUAAGCAUGAUCCUUUGUCUUUUGGUUAUGUCCCGUUGCUCCAGACCUUGAGUAUCAGCAAUACAGCUCUUUCAUAUCAUAAGAUGCUCAAGCUAAGUGAGUUACUUGGCAAAGCCACUAUAAGGGACCUGCAUUUGAACUUUGAAAGCGAAAAGAUUUGGGUUAAACCGGAAGGUCCAAGAGAAUUAUCUCAGGUGUUCGACAAACUAAGGCUUGUGAGUUUGGCUGACAUUUCUGAAGAGUGCGAUCUGACUUGGACAAUGUUCGUUCUUCAAGGCGCACCCUCCCUUCAGGAGCUAUCCAUCAAGGUGUGGGAUCAUCAAUGUGAUAUGGUCGAGGACGAGGAGCUUAGGAAGAGGCUCAAGUAUACCGAGGUGAAGAAGGAUGCGUGUGCACGGUGGGAAGCACCUGCAUCGGGUUUCAAGCACCACAAUCUGACUGUGCUGAGAAUCUUUGGGUUUCAGUCAGAGGACAAAUUUGUGGAUUAUAUCGCGGGUGUGAUAGAAGCAGCCGUCGGUCUUGAGGACAUAUACUUGUAUGAGAAGCCAGCAUGUGAGACAUGUAAGCGCAAUACCAAGGACAGCUACCCACGGACAAACAAGGAGAGGAUUGCGCUUAGGAACAUAUUCAACUGGGAGAUGUGCUCGCUUGCAAGGAUUCACUUCCCGAGUUCAAGAAACUGA
RNAcentral lists this ribosomal RNA (1524 nucleotides) under Triticum aestivum (bread wheat). Its description in RNAcentral is "partial small subunit ribosomal RNA". Lineage: Eukaryota; Viridiplantae; Streptophyta; Magnoliopsida; Poales; Poaceae. The record is from RNAcentral.